UUCAGUGGUGUCUGGGUGUUCAUCUCUUGAACUUCCUAGUUACCUUUUUGAUUUAAGUUAGUUUAAAAAAAUCCAGCCUCAAGAUAUAUGAAAGUCCACUUCCCUUUCUAGGCAGAACUCUUCCAAUUCAGGUUCAAAUAAACUGGAGAUAUGAAGAUUUAGCCUGAAAAGUCACAAUUUUUCCAAUCAAUGAAGAUGAGAAAGCCUUUGAAGGAUUUUGAAUAGUAAAGUGGUACAUCGCAUUUAACAGGAUCACAGUGGCAGCUGUGUUGAAAGCAGAAGGAAGAGGAAGAGGAAGCCUAAACCAGAGCACCUGCAACUUAAAGGUUUACUGCCUUCAAGAGAAGUCCACUUCAAUAGGAAAAUCAAAGGAUGACUUCAGAGACCACAACUAGGCUGAGAAAACUCACCAACAGCAUGAAACUCUCAAAGCAUAUUUUCCAAGAAAAGAGGUGGUUAUCGUAAGCUUUAGAUAUUCUCCAACCUGAAUUUGUCCAGAGGUCUGAAAUUUAUGAAAACGAAACCCAAAGCCUAAUUUUGUGGGUGGCUGAAUUACAAUGCCAACUGAGUUCCCAACCACACAGGGCGCCUUUAUUAACAUUGAUUGGAAGGAAUGGGAUCCUGAAAACUGGAAUCAGCACAUGUGGGCAGAUUCAGAUGAAGAUGGGGUCUUGAAUCUCCAAAUUCCACUGAGCUUUCUGUGCCAGAAGAAACAGCCCUGCCACCCUUGCUGUAGGAGGUUAGUCUCUCUUUGACUGAAAAACCUCUAAAAGUCUCUCCCCUGAGGUAGCUGUCUUACAAGAUAUUGCUGAUCCUCCCCUGGACCUAUCCCCACAGACCCUCCUUUCCUCUAGUCCAUAGCCGGACUCAAGUCCUAGCAGACUCAAAACCUGUGAGGAGGUAUGAUAUAGCUCCUUCACCAACUUGCAUAAUUUUAAU
Molecule: non-coding RNA, 939 nt
Organism: Microcebus murinus (gray mouse lemur)
Lineage: Eukaryota; Metazoa; Chordata; Mammalia; Primates; Cheirogaleidae
Source: RefSeq, a predicted model, not a curated record